CAAGUAACCAAGUUUAGGUCCUAAAUUUUUAAUUUAGUUACGAUAUUUUUUAUCCUUGA
RNAcentral lists this transfer RNA (59 nucleotides) under Chaetopleura apiculata. RNAcentral's name for it is "tRNA-Lys". Lineage: Eukaryota; Metazoa; Mollusca; Polyplacophora; Chitonida; Chaetopleuridae. The record is from RNAcentral.